RNAcentral lists this ribosomal RNA (919 nucleotides) under uncultured archaeon. Its description in RNAcentral is "bacterial SSU rRNA". It matches the Rfam family "Archaeal small subunit ribosomal RNA", at positions 1 to 922 of the family's 1478-position model. The record is from RNAcentral.
UUCCGGUUGAUCCUGCCGGAGGUCAUUGCUAUCGGGGUCCGAUUUAGCCAUGCUAGUCGCACGGGUUUAGACCCGUGGCGAACAGCUCAGUAACACGUGGCCAAACUACCCUACGGAGGAGGAUAACCUCGGGAAACUGAGGCUAAUCCUUCAUAACGCUCCCAUGCUGGAAUGCAGGGGGCGGGAAACGCUCAGGCGCCGUAGGACGUGGCUGCGGCCGAUUAGGUAGACGGUGGGGUAACGGCCCACCGUGCCGAUAAUCGGUACGGGUUGUGAGAGCAAGAGCCCGGAGAUGGAAUCUGAGACAAGAUUCCAGGCCCUACGGGGCGCAGCAGGCGCGAAACCUUUACACUGCACGAGAGUGCGAUAAGGGGAUCCCGAGUGCGAGGGCAUAUCGUCCUCGCUUUUCUGUACCGUAGGGAGGUACAGGAAUAAGUGCUGGGCAAGACCGGUGCCAGCCGCCACGGUAAUACCGGCAGCACAAGUGAUGACCGUUAUUAUUGGGCCUAAAGCGUCCGUAGCCGGCCAGACAAGUUCGUUGGGAAAUCCACCCGCUCAACGGGUGGGCGUCCAGCGAAAACUGUUUGGCUUGGGGCCGGAAGACCCAGGGGGUACGUCCGGGGUAGGAGUGAAAUCCUGUAAUCCUGGACGGACCGCCGGUGGCGAAAGCGCCCUGGGAGGACGGACCCGACGGUCAGGGACGAAAGCUAGGGUCUCGAACCGGAUUAGAUACCCGGGUAGUCCUAGCUGUAAACGAUGCCCGCUAGGUGUGGCACAGGCUACGAGCCUGUGCUGUGCCGUAGGGAAGCCGUGAAGCGGGCCGCCUGGGAAGUACGUCCGCAAGGAUGAAACUUAAAGGAAUUGGCGGGGGAGCACUACAACCGGAGGAGCCUGCGGUUUAAUUGGAGUCAACGCCGGG